Molecule: ribosomal RNA, 485 nt
Filed under: uncultured bacterium
Lineage: Bacteria
Description: bacterial SSU rRNA
Rfam family: Bacterial small subunit ribosomal RNA
Source: RNAcentral
CUACGUGCCAGCAGCCGCGGUAAUACGUAGGGUGCGAGCGUUAAUCGGAAUUACUGGGCGUAAAGCGAGCGCAGACGGUUACUUAAGCAGGAUGUGAAAUCCCCGGGCUCAACCUGGGAACUGCGUUCUGAACUGGGUGACUAGAGUGUGUCAGAGGGAGGUAGAAUUCCACGUGUAGCAGUGAAAUGCGUAGAGAUGUGGAGGAAUACCGAUGGCGAAGGCAGCCUCCUGGGAUAACACUGACGUUCAUGCUCGAAAGCGUGGGUAGCAAACAGGAUUAGAUACCCUGGUAGUCCACGCCCUAAACGAUGUCAAUUAGCUGUUGGGCAACUUGAUUGCUUAGUAGCGUAGCUAACGCGUGAAAUUGACCGCCUGGGGAGUACGGUCGCAAGAUUAAAACUCAAAGGAAUUGACGGGGACCCGCACAAGCGGUGGAGCAUGUGGUUUAAUUCGAUGCAACGCGAAGAACCUUACCUACUCUUGAC